Molecule: ribosomal RNA, 1057 nt
Filed under: Acinetobacter sp. WMF-9
Lineage: Bacteria; Pseudomonadati; Pseudomonadota; Gammaproteobacteria; Moraxellales; Moraxellaceae
Description: bacterial SSU rRNA
Rfam family: Bacterial small subunit ribosomal RNA
Source: RNAcentral
GGACCAGCGGCGGACGGGUGAGUAAUGCUUAGGAAUCUGCCUAUUAGUGGGGGACAACNUUCCGAAAGGAACGCUAAUACCGCAUACGCCCUACGGGGGAAAGCAGGGGAUCUUCGGACCUUGCGCUAAUAGAUGAGCCUAAGUCGGAUUAGCUAGUUGGUGGGGUAAAGGCCUACCAAGGCGACGAUCUGUAGCGGGUCUGAGAGGAUGAUCCGCCACACUGGGACUGAGACACGGCCCAGACUCCUACGGGAGGCAGCAGUGGGGAAUAUUGGACAAUGGGCGCAAGCCUGAUCCAGCCAUGCCGCGUGUGUGAAGAAGGCCUUUUGGUUGUAAAGCACUUUAAGCGAGGAGGAGGCUCCUUUAGUUAAUACCUAAAGNGAGUGGACGUUACUCGCAGAAUAAGCACCGGCUAACUCUGUGCCAGCAGCCGCGGUAAUACAGAGGGUGCGAGCGUUAAUCGGAUUUACUGGGCGUAAAGCGUGCGUAGGCGGCUUUUUAAGUCGGAUGUGAAAUCCCUGAGCUUAACUUAGGAAUUGCAUUCGAUACUGGAAAGCUAGAGUAUGGGAGAGGAUGGUAGAAUUCCAGGUGUAGCGGUGAAAUGCGUAGAGAUCUGGAGGAAUACCGAUGGCGAAGGCAGCCAUCUGGCCUAAUACUGACGCUGAGGUACGAAAGCAUGGGGAGCAAACAGGAUUAGAUACCCUGGUAGUCCAUGCCGUAAACGAUGUCUACUAGCCGUUGGGGCCUUUGAGGCUUUAGUGGCGCAGCUAACGCGAUAAGUAGACCGCCUGGGGAGUACNGUCGCAAGACUAAAACUCAAAUGAAUUUGACGGGGGCCCCCGCACAAGCGGUGGAGCAUGUGGUUNAAUUCGAUGCAACGCGAANAANCCUUUACCUGGCCUUGACAUACUAAGAACUUUCCAGAGAUGGAUUGGUGCCUUCGGGAACUUAGAUACAGGUGCUGCAUGGCUGUCGUCAGCUCGUGUCGUGAGAUGUUGGGUUAAGUCCCGCAACGAGCGCAACCCUUUUCCUUAUUUGCCAGCGGGUAAAGCNGGNA